This is a long non-coding RNA of Manihot esculenta (cassava), 2487 nucleotides long. RefSeq lists it as uncharacterized. The record is from RefSeq and is a predicted model, not a curated record. Lineage: Eukaryota; Viridiplantae; Streptophyta; Magnoliopsida; Malpighiales; Euphorbiaceae. The transcript has 4 exons.
UUGGAGGAUGAUGGCAUUGUAAAGGAUUUGAGGAGGUGGCUAGCCUCUUCCGGCGAACCGAAGCCGUCGAUAUGUAGUUGUUGAUGAUGAUGAUGAUCACGAGGAGGAGGGGGGGGGGGGGGGGAGGGGGAAAGCGAGUCGGAUUUUGGCGGAGGUGUAUGAUGUAGACACGAGCGAGGAGGAGGAGGAAAUGAAGAUGGAAGAAGAUUAUGUGGUGGGAAAGGCAUUGCAGAAGCGCGCCAAAAUAUCGGCGGAGCUCAAAAGGGAGCUGUACGGCUGUGCAAUCACCGGUGCAUGCUGUACGCCGAGGUGGAAGGUUCUUCAGAGAGGAUUGUGACUCAGCAUGUGGAGCUGUGGAUUCAGAUUUCCAUCCUGUACUUAAGCUAUAUCAGCUGGUUGGUGUGAACUUUCUUCUUCUGCUGUACCAAAAAGGGCAUCGGAGGAGGUUGGAUAUCAUCAUCAGUUGCUCUAGGUAGAAAUGAUAACACAUGAUUCUAAGAGCUCUCGGGUUGAACAUGCUCAUGCUGGAGCAGCAUAAGGAUAGGUAACCUACUAACACCUUCAUUGCUUUCUUGGUGGUUUCUUCCUUUCCUUGUUAUUAGUAUAACAAGAUAGUCCUCCUUGGAUUUUAGGCUUGGCUAGUUUCUAUUCUACAAACAUUAGUCUUUGGAACUUUAUUCAGAUUUUAGUCAUAUAUCUUAAUGUUAAACCCACUGUUGAUUUUGCUGAAAUUUAUUUCUAACGUUCAUUGGGUUUAACUUAUUCUGGACACCACUUUGAGUGACAGCACCGAGGUGACAGAGAGACAAACCAUAGUUGAUGCUUUCAACAAUUACACUUCUAUAUUUGCAUGCUUGCUGUCCACUAGUGAUGGACAAUGGGGUUUGAACUUGACUGGAGCUGAUAAUGUUUUAUCCAUGGCAUGAAUUUCAACAAAUUGAUUGAUAGGCAGAAGAUCAAUGUCAUAACUAUCAGUAAAAAAGGCUUGUCGCCAUAUGCAGGUGCGUCAUCACUCAUCCUGUAGGAGGAAAAAGAGCACGACUAAAAUGAAGAUAAAGAGAGAAUGAAGUUGGAAAUAAAAUCACUCCAAUUCCUUCUCUCCAGUCAUUGUCCCAUUUACAUAAGUUUUACAGUCUUGCAAACUAUAUAGUAUGUGCAUGGAUUUUACUCUAGUCUCCACCUUUUUCAAGAUAGUGAACUGAGGGUACAGUUGAUGAGAUGGCAAAAUGAAAGCUUAUUUUGGAUGCUGCUGUUCUUGAUUCUGGGUUGUAGUGGAUAAUUAGUAUGCAUCUAAGAAGACAAUGGGACAUAGCCAGAUACUAUCAUCACUUUUGGGCUAAUAAGAUCAAAUGCAUCUGAUUGCAACUCAUCAUACAUCUUCUCCCAUUUAUUUUGUCCUUCCCUUUAUUUUCUUAAUAACCAUUAUUAAUAGCCUUUAAAUUCAUGAAGUGGUGAAAGUUAAUUGUCAAUUGGACUUGAUUGAUUCAGUCAAUUAUAAGUUUCUAAAGGUAUUAGUGUGAUAUUCUUGGAGCCUCAUUCAACUCUAUAUUUGAGCACUUCUAAUUGUAUCAAUGCUGAAACUGUCCAGGCAUCGGAGCCGCCUCACUUUGUUCACAAAUAUCCUGAAUUUUAGAACCAUGCAUUUUGCUUACUAGAGAUGAAAAUAAGCAAAAUAGAUGUUGGUGUGCCCAUUGUGAACAAGGGACAGUGUGGAAAAAAGGUGCUUGAUUUAUGAUUUAGCUUGAGCAAUAGCCUAGCUUGUCACUAGUGUACGAGUGAAAGGUAUUCACUUGUACUCGUUAAUUUCCCACAAUUUUUUAGCGAUCAGUAAUUUAUUUAUUAUUUGGCUGUUUUACGUUAUUAAGUCUUUAUAGGAAUCUUCAUUUUUCUUUAUUUAAAAUAGUUUGUAAUGUGAAAUUUCCGAUAUUAUUUUUUUGGUCGAAACUAUGACAUUAAAUUUAAUAUGCAAAUAAUGGUACUUGAUGGAUUGGUGAGUUGCUGAGUAGGCAACAAUCUUGUGCAGGACACCAGGCGUAUUGACAUGGAUAAGCCAAUGAGUAGUGCAUGCAAAUUCUGAAACACAAAAUCUAAUUUGUUUAUCUUAAGCAAAGCAGAGAAAAAUUGCAAGUUGGGAUGGGAAGAUAUACACAUCAAGCCAUCGAGGGAAUCUCUUCAAACAGCUUUUAUGCCGUAACAGUAGGGUUUAUGCUUCUGGUGAUUGUCGCAGAACGUCUCUAUUUGUAGCUUCUAUCCAUAAGAAUAGAGAAUUACUGUUCACAGAAUGCCAAUGGGACCCUUUUUGUGUCCUUCCUAUGUCACCAUCAUUCACAUGGAUGUAGCCCAGUUGUUCACAUGUUGGAUUUUUUUUCCCCUCCUCUUCCUCUUUUCUUCAUGCUGUAUGCAAUGUUAGUUUAAUUCACUUUGAUGCAAUUUUGGAUGAGCUGGACUUUCAAAUAAAAAAAUGGAGAAAAUUAUACUUAGGUCCCU